Molecule: ribosomal RNA, 498 nt
Filed under: uncultured bacterium
Lineage: Bacteria
Description: partial 16S ribosomal RNA
Rfam family: Bacterial small subunit ribosomal RNA
Source: RNAcentral
GGAUGAACGCUGGCGGCGUGCCUAAUACAUGCAAGUCGAACGCAUAGCGAAAGGUGCUUGCCCCUUUCAAGUGAGUGGCGAACGGGUGAGUAACACGUGGACAACCUGCCUCAAGGCUGGGGAUAACAUUUGGAAACAGAUGCUAAUACCGAAUAAAACUUAGUGUCGCAUGACACAAAGUUAAAAGGCGCUUCGGCGUCACCUAGAGAUGGAUCCGCGGUGCAUUAGUUAGUUGGUGGGGUAAAGGCCUACCAAGACAAUGAUGCAUAGCCGAGUUGAGAGACUGAUCGGCCACAUUGGGACUGAGACACGGCCCAAACUCCUACGGGAGGCUGCAGUAGGGAAUCUUCCACAAUGGGCGAAAGCCUGAUGGAGCAACGCCGCGUGUGUGAUGAAGGCGUUCGGGUCGUAAAGCACUGUUGUAUGGGAAGAACAGCUAGAAUAGGAAAUGAUUUUAGUUUGACGGUACCAUACCAGAAAGGGACGGCUAAAUACGUG